Molecule: ribosomal RNA, 253 nt
Filed under: uncultured bacterium
Lineage: Bacteria
Description: partial 16S ribosomal RNA
Rfam family: Bacterial small subunit ribosomal RNA
Source: RNAcentral
UACGGGGGGGGCAAGCGUUGUUCGGAAUUACUGGGCGUAAAGGGCUCGUAGGCGGCCAACUAAGUCAGACGUGAAAUCCCUCGGCUUAACCGGGGAACUGCGUCUGAUACUGGAUGGCUUGAGUUUGGGAGAGGGACGCGGAAUUCCAGGUGUAGCGGUGAAAUGCGUAGAUAUCUGGAGGAACACCGGUGGCGAAGGCGGCGUCCUGGACCAAUACUGACGCUGAUGAGCGAAAGCCAGGGGAGCAAACGGG